ACCAAGGCUUACGGGUAGCCGACCUGAGAGGGUGACCGGCCACACUGGGACUGAGAACUGCCCAGACUCCUACGGGAGGCUGCAGUCGAGAAUCAUUGUCAAUGUACGAAAGUAUGAACAUGCGACGCCGCGUGGAGGACGAAGGCCUUCGGGUUGUAAACUCCUGUCCUGAGGGAGUAAGUGCAGGGAACUUAAUACGUUCCCUGUUUGAUAGUACCUCGGAAGAAAGUCACGGCUAACUCUGUGCCAGCAGCCGCGGUAAUACAGAGGUGGCAAGUGUUGUUCGGAUUUACUGGGCGUAAAGGGUCCCAGGCGGUCUUGUGUGUCGGAUGUGAAAGCUCACGGCUUAACCGUGGAAUUGCAUUCGAAACUACAGGACUAGAGUACAGGAGGGGAGAGGGGAAUUCAGGGUGUAGCGGUGAAAUGCGUAGAUAUCCUGAAGAACACCGGUGGCGAAGGCGCCUCUCUGGACUGAUACUGACGCUCAUGGACGAAAGCUAGGGGAGCGAAGAGGAUUAGAUACCCUCGUAGUCCUAGCCGUAAACGGUGUGCACUUGAUGUUGGAGGUUUACCCCUUUCAGUGUCGAAGCUAACGCGAUAAGUGCACCGCCUGGGAAGUACGGCCGCAAGGUUAAAACUCAAAGGAAUUGACGGGGGCCCGCACAAGCGGUGGAGCAUGUGGCUUAAUUCGAUGCAACGCGAAGAACCUUACCAGGGCUUGACAUGUAACUGCAUACGACCAGAAACGGACGUAGCCUUCGAGGGUGUUACACAGGUGCUGCAUGGCUGUCGUCAGCUCGUGCCGUGAGGUGUUGGGUUAAGUCCCGCAACGAGCGCAACCCCUAUGUUUAGUUGCCAGCACAUAAUGGUGGGAACUCUAAACAGACUGCUGGUGAAAGCCAGAGGAAGUUGGGGAUGACGUCAAGUCAGUAUGGUCCUUAUGCCCUGGGCUGCACACGUGCUACAAUGGGUGGUACAAAAGGAAGCAAUACCGCGAGGUGGAGCAAAUCCCCAAAACCAUCCCCAGUUCGGAUUGGAGUCUGAAAUUCGACUCCAUGAAGUUGGAAUCGCUAGUAAAGGUAUAUCAGCUACGAUACCUUGAAUACGUUCCCGGGCCUUGUACACACCGCCCGUCACAUCAUGGAAGUCUGCUGUACCCGAAGUCGCUGAUCUAACCAUUUAUUUGGAAGAAGGCGCCGAAGGUGUGGCCGAUGACUGGGAUGAAGUCGGAACAAGGUA
This 1239-nucleotide ribosomal RNA is filed under the name metagenome. RNAcentral describes it as "bacterial SSU rRNA". It matches the Rfam family "Bacterial small subunit ribosomal RNA", at positions 267 to 1498 of the family's 1533-position model. The record is from RNAcentral.